This is a microRNA precursor of Gorilla gorilla gorilla (western lowland gorilla), 64 nucleotides long. Lineage: Eukaryota; Metazoa; Chordata; Mammalia; Primates; Hominidae. The record is from Ensembl.
UGCAAAGGUAAUUGUGGUUUCUGCCAUUGAAAGUAAAGGCAAGAACCUCAGUUACCUUUGCAGC